AAACCUGAGCUUGGGUGGGAGAUCCCUAGGAGAGUUCUUGGUGAAGUCUCUGACUAGCCUUCAAAAAUAAUGAAGUCAUGCAUGAUGACACUCUUUGUUUCUGGUCUUCUGCUUAUUUUAGUGUUCCUGCCAGAGAGGGUAAACAACUUUGGAAGAUUCAGCAAAUGCACUCAAUGCCUCAGUGCAGAAAAACAAAUGGAUAUCCAGAUAGGAUUCCCAGGAACAUUUCUGCUGUCUGCUUGGUGACAGAGUCCCCAGGACAGAGCCCGAGGGGUAGGAUUCCAGAGACAAAAAGAAGUGAGACAAGAGAAUGAGGAAGAACAAGUACAAAAAGGGUAUGUGGCCGACGUGGCCAGAACCCAUGACCAACGAACGCAACAGCCGAUUGAACCCAUGUCAAGUACAGCCGUCGAUUAGCCUGCAGAGACAUCUGCAAAGAAACCACGUGAAAAGAAUGGCUUCUUGGGGAAAGUCCUUUGGGACCUCAUGUAUCCCAGGCUGGUCUCCAACUUACUAAGUACCUGAAGGUCACCUUGAACUUUGAUCUUUCUGUCUCCACCUCCCAAGCACUAAAAGCACAGUGUCAGUGCUCUGAGAUCCCAGCACCCCUGAUGAUGGCAAGGUUGGAAUGUGCCUCUGUAUUUCAUCUGCCCCAGCGGCCUUCAUA
This is a long non-coding RNA of Mastomys coucha (southern multimammate mouse), 667 nucleotides long. RefSeq lists it as uncharacterized. Lineage: Eukaryota; Metazoa; Chordata; Mammalia; Rodentia; Muridae. The transcript is spliced from 6 exons. The record is from RefSeq and is a predicted model, not a curated record.